This 883-nucleotide long non-coding RNA is filed under the name Mytilus galloprovincialis (Mediterranean mussel). Lineage: Eukaryota; Metazoa; Mollusca; Bivalvia; Mytilida; Mytilidae. The record is from RNAcentral.
CUUGUACUUGAGGUUGAUUUUUUCAGGGAUAUUGGUAAGUUAUUCCAUAAAAUAGAUCCUGAAUAUAUAAAAGAUUUCUUAUACAGCUCUGUUUUGGCUUUUGGAACUUGUAAAUUUUUGCAAGAGGCAUUUCUCAAACAAUAUUGGUUUAUUUCUGGCAUAUCUUUAAAUUUUUCAGUGAGAUAUACAGGGGCUUCAUUCUUAAGGCAUUUCUGCAUCAAAACAGAUUUGUGGUAUGAGAUUCUGUUCUCUACUGUCAUCCAUCCAAGCUGUUUAAACAGUGGAGCUGAUGAUGAAAGUGGAUCAGCAUCUAAAAUAAGUCUUGCAGCCCUUUUUUGCAAUUUUAUUAUUCUGAUUAGCUCAUGUUUAGCACAACCACUUCAAAUAAUACAACAAUAAUCUAUCAGUGGGAGAAUAUAACCAUUAUAAAAUAAUUUUCUUAGAUCAAUAUUUAGAAAUUUCUUGAUUUUAGAGAGUAAAUAAAGUCUAGAUGAUAUAGAUGAACAUAAGUAAUUAAUAUGGCCUGUCCAGGACAGAUUAGAGUCAAUUCUUACACCUAAAAGUUUUUCAAUUGAUGAUUUUUGAAGAAUAUUAUUCUCAAUAGUCAGAACUGGGUCUGCUUGAUUUAAACGCAGCCUUUGUCUUGUACCUAUAACCAUGCAUUUCGUCUUAUCUGAAUUUAUGAACAUGUUAUUUUCAUGACACCAUUUUUCAACACAUUGGAGAUCAUCUUGUACUUUUAAUUGCAUAUCAGCAAUAGUCUUUCCUGAUGUAUGCAUAGUUGUGUCAUCAGCAUACAAGUCUGUAUGGCAGUUUUUGAUGUGUAAUGGAAGGUCAUUUAUAAACAAAACCAACAAAAUGGGACCAAGUAUUGAGCCCUGUG